GCCAGCAGCCGCGGUAAUACCGGCGGCUCGAGUGGUGGCCACUUUAUUGGGCUUAAAGCGUUCGUAGCUGGGUUAUUAAGUCCCUUGGGAAAUCCGACAGCUUAACUGGUCGGGCGUCUAAGAGAUACUGGUAAUCUUGGAACCGGGAGAGGUGAGGGGUACUUCGGGGGGUAGGAGUGAAAUCCUGUAAUCCUCGAGGGACCACCUGUGGCGAAGGCGCCUCACCAGAACGGCUUCGACAGUGAGGGACGAAAGCGUGGGGGAGCAAACCGGAUUAGAUACCCGGGUAGUCCCAGCCGUAAACGAUGUGCGUUAGGUGUAUCGGUGACCACGAGUCACCGAGGUGCCGAAGGGAAACCGUGAAACGUACCGCCUGGGAAGUACGGUCGCAAGGCUGAAACUUAAAGGAAUUGGCGGGGGAGCACCACAACAGGUGGAGCCUGCGGUUUUUAAAUUGGACUCAACGCCGGAAAUCUCACCGGAUAAGACAGCAGAAUGAUUGCCGGGCUGAAGACUCUGCAUGACUAGCUGAGAGGUGGUGCAUGG
Molecule: ribosomal RNA, 546 nt
Filed under: uncultured archaeon
Lineage: Archaea
Description: bacterial SSU rRNA
Rfam family: Archaeal small subunit ribosomal RNA
Source: RNAcentral